This 301-nucleotide ribosomal RNA is filed under the name uncultured bacterium. RNAcentral describes it as "partial 16S ribosomal RNA". It matches the Rfam family "Bacterial small subunit ribosomal RNA", at positions 509 to 807 of the family's 1533-position model. The record is from RNAcentral.
CAGUAGCCGCGGGAAAACGGAGGAUCCGAGCGUUAUCCGGAAUUAUUGGGUUUAAAGGGUGCGUAGGCGGAUAGAUAAGUCAGUGGUGAAAGACGGUGGCUCAACCAUCGCAGUGCCGUUGAUACUGUUUAUCUUGAAUAUGGAUGAGGUAGGCGGAAUGUGGCAAGUAGCGGUGAAAUGCAUAGAUAUGCCACAGAACACCGAUUGCGAAGGCAGCUUACCAAGGCAAAAUUGACGCUGAGGCACGAAAGCGUGGGGAUCGAACAGGAUUAGAUACCCGAGUAGUCCCUGUCUCUUAUAC